CUUUGGCACCCUCUGUCUGGAGGAUUCUGCAAGACUAAGAUACUUUACCGUAUGAGAAAGUCAGUCACACAAAUUUCGCUUGCUACUCAGGAAAAGGCUCAAUGCGUCUUUUGGAACAGACAACAAAACCGUGUAGUACAACAGGGUGUAGCUGGAAUUUGAAUAUUCUUCUUUUCUCCUUCCCCUCACCUCUUUGCUAGGCAAUUCUUGAAGAGUGAUUUUAAUUGACUAAAAUUUUAUUAAGCAGUUCUCAGCUGGUCACAGGUCACAGCCCUCACUUACCUACAAAAGUGUGCAGUCACAAUUCUGAAAUGGUAAACUGGCCAUUUCUUUACCUCAUACAAGGCAAAAAACACCAUUAGGAGAUGUUUCUCUCAGGCCAGGCUUGGUAAAGGGAUUGAUGUUUAAAUCAGAAGAUGGAAAUCGUAAAUCCAGUAUUAACAUCUGGGUAUUAUGUAAAGCCAUAAAAGCCACAAUUUAUACCUGAAAUCUGUGAUUUUAUUUGUAAUUUCUAACUUCAGCAGCUAAAAUCAUCUUUCUGAUUUGCAGUGUAUGAAGUGUCAAUCAAACUAGCAGCUCGUGUUGGUAAAAAUGUGAGUGAGCACUAUGAAAAUGAAAAUUCUGUGACCUGCUUGCUGUGUCCAGCAGACAACCAAACUCCAGCACGUUUCAAUUCAAACUAAAGUGUCCAUGUCAUUGCUAAGUCUAAUUAACAGUGUUGAUUUUUUUUUCAAAACAGGCUUAAGGUAUCUUGUUUAUGAAAAGAAACAGAAUAUGUGUAUGAGACAAAUCUAGACAUGGGGUCAUCUGCAACUGUGGAAAGACCAAUAUUUUGCUCUUUGCAUCAUAUUGUCCAUCGUUUCAGCAUCUGGAUGUCUUCCCAAGUGGUCUAGUCUGCCAUCCUGUGACACUGCUGGGGAAAUAAAUACAGAGUGAAUGGAGAUCUCCUUGAAAAUGUUGGACUGAACAUCCUGAGCACCUGGACCAAAUUUAGCAUGAAGACUGAACUGCUGUGCUUUUGCUGCCUUCACUGUUCAUCAAGUUGUCUGGUCUUACAGGUCCAAGAGCUGAUCCCAAGGACGACAGCUUCCAAGAUGUCUCAGAGAGAACCCCAAACUCUGUUCUUGGGCUCAGUGGGAGAGAAGUCUGUCUUCUGAGGAGAAAACACUGAUGCAAGAAAUCAA
This 1184-nucleotide long non-coding RNA is filed under the name Anser brachyrhynchus (Pink-footed goose). RNAcentral describes it as "lncRNA (ENSABRG00000010093.1)". Lineage: Eukaryota; Metazoa; Chordata; Aves; Anseriformes; Anatidae. The record is from RNAcentral.